ACACUUGAGCCGGAGGGGAUCCUUGCAGUGUUUGAUCACGGCAAGCACGUCCCUGAUGGUGAGCCCCGCCACGGGGGUCUCGUUUACUUCCAGCAGCAGUUCCUCAGACACCAACUUGCUGCCGCUCUCAUAGGCCACCUUGUCGGGCUUCACCUCCCCCAGGUAGGGGAACUGUCCAUUCUCGGCGCCCCCCUUCAGUUCGAAGCCCAGCUGGCCCUCCGGGUUCCUGCCAAUGACACUCUCAUGGACUUUGCUAGUCCAGUGGCUUUUCUUUUUCAAGCUUUUGGACAUGGCAGUGGGGCUACAGCACAACUGAAGAGAGAGAAGCCAUCUUGCCUCCAUGAUUGGACAAACAUGAAGAUAAAAGCUUCCCUGUGUGGAUGAUAGAGCAAAAUGAUAGAAGGGGCUCAGACUCCCUUCCUUCAGACUUCUUGAUAUAUCUUCAAAGAUGUCCAAUACUUCUGCUGUAGCAACACAGUGCUUCAUGGAAUCCUACAGUGAUUGUAUCUACGAAUUCACUGCACAAGCAUUUUAAGAAAUGUCCAAUUGUGCUUCAUCAACUUGCAGCUGCAGCAGUGAGAGAAGAUGCUGCCAGAGACCAAAAAACAGUCAGUAAACAAAACAGAAGCCCAGAAUGAUGACACCAGUGAUCUGAUCUGUUUUUGUGGAAAGAAGAUGAGUGACUCUACUGAACCUCUGUAAUACCCAGACGCACACUGGCAUUCGGUUUCCUUUUUCCUGAUAUCAACCCACUCUCGGGGAUGCCUUGUCCUGAGGUAUUAUGCAGCUCUCAUUUUGAGGAGAAAAUGAAGAAGAGGCAAUAUAUAAGAAAGUAAUGGCUGAGAAUUUACCAGAAAUGAUGAAAACAUAUAAAUCCACAAAUAUAGGAAGUAAGGUAUAUCACAGUAAAGCUAUCUUUAUAAAAAGAAGAAUGAAUGAAGACAUUUUUCCAGCAAGAAAAUUUUUGCAACAUCAUUAGAAAGAACUUUGCUAAAAUAACUUCUACAUACGUACUUCAAGAGAAAAGAAAAUGAUUACUGAAGGAAAAUGAGGGGUGCGAGACAGAAUGGUGAUCAAAGAGAAGACCAAAUAUGAAGUACGCGGGCCUCUCACUGCUGCGGCAGCUCCCGCUGCGGAGCACAGGCUCCGGACGCGCAGGCCCAGCGGCCGUGGCUCACGGGCCCAGCCGCUCCGCGGCAUGUGGGAUCCUCGCGGACCGGGGCACGAACCCGUGUCCCCUGCAUCGGCAGGCGGACUCUCAACCACUGCGC
Long non-coding RNA from Globicephala melas (long-finned pilot whale), 1271 nucleotides. RefSeq lists it as uncharacterized. The record is from RefSeq and is a predicted model, not a curated record. NCBI's taxonomy places the organism in Eukaryota, Metazoa, Chordata, Mammalia, Artiodactyla, Delphinidae.